AUUGAACGCUGGCGGCAGGCCUAACACAUGCAAGUCGAGCGGAUGAAGGGAGCUUGCUCCUGGAUUCAGCGGCGGACGGGUGAGUAAUGCCUAGGAAUCUGCCUGGUAGUGGGGAUAACGUCCGGAAACGGGCGCUAAUACCGCAUACGUCCUGAGGGAGAAAGUGGGGGAUCUUCGGACCUCACGCUAUCAGAUGAGCCUAGGUCGGAUUAGCUAGUUGGUGGGGUAAAGGCCUACCAAGGCGACGAUCCGUAACUGGUCUGAGAGGAUGAUCAGUCACACUGGAACUGAGACACGGUCCAGACUCCUACGGGAGGCAGCAGUGGGGAAUAUUGGACAAUGGGCGAAAGCCUGAUCCAGCUAUGCCGCGUGUGUGAAGAAGGUCUUCGGAUUGUAAAGCACUUUAAGUUGGGAGGAAGGGCAGUAAGUUAAUACCUUGCUGUUUUGACGUUACCAACAGAAUAAGCACCGGCUAACUUCGUG
RNAcentral lists this ribosomal RNA (483 nucleotides) under uncultured bacterium. RNAcentral's name for it is "partial 16S ribosomal RNA". It matches the Rfam family "Bacterial small subunit ribosomal RNA", at positions 30 to 507 of the family's 1533-position model. The record is from RNAcentral.